UACAGAGGGUGCGAGCGUUAAUCGGAAUUACUGGGCGUAAAGCGUGCGUAGACGGUUAUCUAAGUCGGAUGUGAAAGCCCCGGGCUCAACCUGGGAAUUGCAUUCGAGACUGAAUAGCUAGGGUGCGGUAGAGGGAAGCGGAAUUUCCGGUGUAGCGGUGAAAUGCGCAGAUAUCGGGAAGAACACCUAUGGCGAAGGCAGCUCUCUGGGACGGUACUGACGCUGAGACGCGAAAGCGUGGGGAGCGAACAGG
This 253-nucleotide ribosomal RNA is filed under the name uncultured bacterium. RNAcentral's name for it is "partial 16S ribosomal RNA". It matches the Rfam family "Bacterial small subunit ribosomal RNA", at positions 524 to 776 of the family's 1533-position model. The record is from RNAcentral.